RNAcentral lists this long non-coding RNA (880 nucleotides) under Astyanax mexicanus (Mexican tetra). RNAcentral describes it as "lncRNA (ENSAMXG00005017348.1)". Lineage: Eukaryota; Metazoa; Chordata; Actinopteri; Characiformes; Acestrorhamphidae. The record is from RNAcentral.
CAAGUACAAAACUCUGUAGAGGGCUUUUAAUUUGAAAUGACAGAUGACAGGAAUUGGAGACAGGUGCAGAGCUUAAUUACUCUGAGCAGUGUUUAGUUUGUUACUGCACCACAAAACACCACUCAGUACUGUUUUAAAAAACAGUAAAACCUUAAACUAAAGCCAUAAACAGACAACAGAAAGCUACAGUUGACCACACGUGAGUGAAAUUCACAGAGAUAAAGGCAGACAGUUAACAAACAUAUGAUAAUUGUGAGUUACUUCAGCUUCCUACUUUAGAUACUAUUCUAGCUACACCUGUAGCUACAGCUCCUGUCUUUCAGCUGGAAAACAAACAGUUUAGAGGCAGACGUAAACUGAAUAAAAUCAUACAGAGAGCUGGCAGUGGAAAGUGGGUGAGCAUGCUACUGCUGCUGAAAACAACUCUUGUGGAGACGCUAAGAGAUCCAUACAGACUGUGGACUGGUGUACCCAAUAACAGCUGAAGGGCAACCCUAAAAACACCCCUGUUUGGAUUUUGAAGUUGCUGCCUGUUUCUUUCACUUCUAACAAUGAGGAUGAUCACCACCCACCUCAUCCCCAACUUCCCAACUCAUCCCAAAAGUACUGGAUGGAGCUCCAUUAUUCCAGAGACCACAGUUACUCUGCACUACAGCUCAAGGUUGAGGCUGUAUACACUCUAACCCACGCCUGGCAUUAGGCAUGGUGCCAAUAGAGUCACCUGGAAGCUAAAGAAUGCAGCACAGACCUGCAAAAUAUGAAUGUGAGGCUUUCUUUUAUUGAAUGUGGAUGAGUAACUCGUCUGUUCACAUGGAAAAUUCUAGCCGGAUCCUGUGGGUCAGAUUAUUUACUGAAUAAGCAUAAAAAUGUAUGGCAUGAA